AGAUGUUUUGGGACUACAACUCCCAUCAUCCCUAGCUAACAGGACCGGUGGUCAGGGAAGAUGGGAAUUGUAGUCCCAAAACAUCU
RNAcentral lists this microRNA precursor (86 nucleotides) under Podarcis lilfordi (Lilford's wall lizard). The record is from RNAcentral. Lineage: Eukaryota; Metazoa; Chordata; Lepidosauria; Squamata; Lacertidae.